Molecule: ribosomal RNA, 253 nt
Filed under: uncultured bacterium
Lineage: Bacteria
Description: partial 16S ribosomal RNA
Rfam family: Bacterial small subunit ribosomal RNA
Source: RNAcentral
UACGAAGGGGACUAGCGUUGUUCGGAAUUACUGGGCGUAAAGCGCACGUAGGCGGAUUUGUUAGUCAGGGGUGAAAUCCCGGGGCUCAACCUCGGAACUGCCUUUGAUACUGCAAGUCUCGAGUCCGAUAGAGGUGGGUGGAAUUCCUGGUGUAGCGGUGAAAUGCGCAGAUAUCAGGAGGAACACCGGUGGCGAAGGCGGCACGCUGGACCUCUUCUGACGCUGAGGCGCGAAAGCCAGGGGAGCGAACGGG